UGAGCGGCAAAAUGUUUUCAUCCAUUCUCCUUCAUUCAUUUGUGAAACAGUUGUGUUCUUCAUAUGGAAACUCCAAUUAAUCAUCAAUCACUUCAAAAUCUUCUACAAAAUUAUGAAUACGUUUCCAUUUCUUUUCCCUUUAUUACCUUCACACGCUCGCUCUCUCUCUCUCCGAUUAAACUCCUUUCAGUUUCUUCCAUACCUAUGAAAACCCUAAUUGACAGUCGUAUUCAAUCAAAAUUGUAGUUUCUCAUACCUAUCAAAACCCUAAUUGAAACAUCAACCAUGAUAGAGGCAGCGAAACCAGGCGAUGGUUGUGUCUAGCGGCGACAGUGGGUCUAAUGUUGAUGGUGGAGAAGUCACGACAGCAGUGGUUUUGUGAGAUGUUGAAAGAAGAUGCAAAUAGUGGAAAAGUGUCGUCUGAUGUACCUGCUGCACUCAAAGAAUUGAAUGAAUAUGUUGAUGAUUUUACCUUAGCAGAUUCCUCAGCUUAUUUUCGAUUUGUAUGGCAUGCUUUUUAUGUGUUAAGAAGAUGAUUAUGUCUUUAAAUUAAAAGAUAAAGGAGUGAUACAAUUGAAUUAGUUUGAUCUAGAAUUUGAGAAGAGGUUUGUAAGAAUUUAUUAGGAAUGAGAUACAUCAUUUGCUUUUGAAUAUGUCUUGGUUUAAAUGAAAUUUGGUUUUAUAUAACAGUGAGUUUGAUUGACAAAGGUAAUAAACCAGAAGUAGAUGUGUUUUUUUUUUUUUUUUUGAAGCUAUUAUGAAUUUUUAGUAGAUUAUUUCGUGAUUAAUUUUGUAUAGGCAUUUGAUAGGCUUCUUCAUAUUUUUUUGUCACUGGCAGUUUCGAGUUUGAUAAACAAGGAUAAGGUGGAAUCAGUGGUCUCGAGCUUCUUCUCAGGUUGAUAAGCUGAAGGAUUUGUUUUUGAAACAACGGGAAGAGAUAAAGGCAUUAAAGAAUGCAAUUAUGUUCCUAGAUGUUAUGAUCCGAGCGAAGUGGGAGGUUGAUUCUCAAGUAACAUAAAACAGGCCAAACAAAUCAUCCUUAAUCUACAAAGUCAGGUAACUUCUCUCACCGACCAACUUCACAACCUUGCUCAGGAUCUAGCAGAGGUCAGUCAUAUUCCUGUAUAUCUUCACCUUUUUUGUUUAAAAUCUGAACACAUGUACUUGUGCUUAUCGUUCUCUCUGUCAAAAGAUAAUGGAUUCUUCAUUUGUUGGCAUAUCAGUUACAAAUAGCUUCUGCAACUUAGUUAACGACAUUCUAAUAUGUUUUUCCUUCAUAAAUGUGUUAAUGUGAUAGGUGAAAGCUGCCAAAUAUUAGAGAUGAUUCGUGUUAGAAUGACUUGAAAACGGGUUGGGCCACUUUAUGGUAAAAAUUUAUUUCAAUCAAUUAUAAUUUGAAGCUUUAGGGGAUUUUUAUUUGUUAAGCUGCGUGUACACGCGGUCUAUGUUGUGUUUUUCUAUCAUUCUAGCUUUCCAGCAAGGUUUCGACAUCUUAGGUUAAAUCUGGUGACAGAGACUAGGGUUAGGUUGUGGCCUUUAAAAGUAGUUAUUUGGACAAUUACAUGAUUACAUGAAAGUUAACUUAUUAAAUAAAAGGGAUUUAGAGAUAAUUUAGUAAUAUCAAGUUUACAUGAAGAUUGAAUUCCAAAAUUUCAUACUUCUCUGGAAGAAAAUGAUGCUUUUUUUAUUUACUUUAAUAAUUGUGUGGAUUGUUCUACUCAUUGAUGCAGAAUUGAGUGGUUCAAUUAGACACUUACUUGAACAAAAGGAACUAGAUGUUAAUUUUUAAAAUUUCUAUACUUCUCUUCUAUACUUUUUAGAUGGUUGAUUUCUCCACUAAUGAUUGCAGUUUUGAAUCUUUAUGUCAUGUAGCAGCCUACAUUCUAUCAGAGAGUACACACGUUUUAAAUUUCUUUGUCAGUAAAUGCAUACUUUGUACUACCAAAUUGUUCUCUCAUAGAAUAGUUCUAUCUAUAAGAUUUGAAAGGCAUAGUUGGAGUUAUAGAAACAUGAGAACCGGGGGUGUUACAACGGCUACUGUAACUUCAACCUUAUUUGAGUGUAUAAGCUCAGUCUAUUAUAAUAAACAAUUUAAAUGCUAAGAUUAACAUCCUAUAUGUAAAUUGUGUUAGGUAGUUAAGCAUUUUUUAAUACUUUUUGGUGAUCUUACUGGAGAAAUGGACGAGGGAUUCAAUGGGAUUGGCACCAGAAGAAUCUACGGCUUUUGUAAACGGUGGUUUAUUUCUAGAAUCAUUAGGCAGUGUUCCUUUAUCUUGCUUUCGCUAAUGAACACAACCAAGUCGUUUUUUGUUCGUUAGGGUGGCUUGGCGGAGUUGGGUUCUUUUGUGUGACAUUGUCGGUAAAAGAUAAAUUCCCAGCCAAGGGUUUGCUGGGAAAGAGGACCUUUUGGAACAUCAAAGGGGCAAUUUGAUACCACCAAGCAUCUUUGAGCUGGAGUUGUAGCUGCUAUGGUCUCAAGUCUGUAUUCACAAUUUCCGUUGCACCACUUGAAAGGCUGAAGCUGGAAUAUAUGGUUCCAAGAGAACUAAAACAUCUUAUUGAGCUAAUCCACUCAGUCAUGAUUAAAGUGGGGCGUUGACACACUCGGUGAAAGCACUUGACAUAUACUUGAAAAUCGAUACCAAGCUGGCAUUUGAAGUUGGAAGGCACAAAAACGAGCAAUGCCUCUGUUAAUACGAGAAUUGAUUCAUUCUCGAUUUUCAACCAACACUUUUCCAAGACGGAAUCAUGCUUAACUAUGCGUGUUCAUGGACAUAAUGGUUUUAAAUCUUGAAUUACAAGAGCAUUGGCCAACACUUGCGAGCCUAGGUGGUGACAACUUGAAAUUUUGGCGUCACGAAUGGGGAAAAUGUGUUAUUUGUGCAGAUUCGGUUUUCGAUGAGUGGGGUUACUUUAAGGCCGUACUCUCUCAAGAAAAAAACAAACCUUCUUGGUGCUCUCGAGAAUACAGGUGCAGGCACAAUCGUUUUUUGAAAUGUUGAGUGAAUUGAGGAAAAAAACACAGAAAUAGACAAUCCAUGCUUUAACUUUCUGGAACAACUUUUAACUUUUUAAGUCAUUUUAUCAUCAAAUGAAUAUUUUCAAUAAUUUUCAAAAGGGAGUUGCACAUGUAUACAUGACAUAAUUCUGAUAUGAUUAUGUUUUGGCAAAUUGGUAUAUGUCAAUUUAGAUUUUACUAACUGUGAAACUGGCACUUUAACUUUUCACUUUUAUUGCUAAGGGUGUUAAAAUUACAGUUUAAAUGGUUCCUUAUUUCUUUUAUGUUUUCUUUUAUCCUGUGUUAUUUAUUUUUCUCCUAAUUCCUUUUUUACAUUUUCCUUUGAGGAUUGGUGAAUUUGGGCUGCUCCUUGUCUUGUGCUGAGGAUUGGUGUAUUUGGGCUGCUCCUUGUCUUGUGCUGCUGGGCUCCUUCGAAGUGGGCUUAUAGCCGUUUGAGGAUUGCUACUUCUUCUAGGGUUUGCCCCUUAUUUAGAGCGGCUGGUUCUAGAGAGCAGUGCACUCGAUCUCAUCAUUGUCUCGUGCACUUCUUCUUAGCUGCUUAUCUUUGGUUCCUUGUUAUUCACACGUUACAUUCAUGAGUGCUGGGAUUGUUUGUAUUGAUCAUCCUACUGGAGAUCUUUUUGAUUCUUGUAAACUGUGAUGACUCGUUCAUCUCUUUGAUAUAUUUGAUUGUACUAU
Molecule: long non-coding RNA, 3697 nt
Organism: Helianthus annuus (common sunflower)
Lineage: Eukaryota; Viridiplantae; Streptophyta; Magnoliopsida; Asterales; Asteraceae
Exons: 7
Source: RefSeq, a predicted model, not a curated record